UACGAAGGGUGCAAGCGUUACUCGGAAUUACUGGGCGUAAAGCGUGCGUAGGUGGUUUGUUAAGUCUGUUGUGAAAGCCCCGGGCUCAACCUGGGAAUGGCAAUGGAUACUGGCAAGCUAGAGUGCGGUAGAGGGUAGUGGAAUUCCCGGUGUAGCGGUGAAAUGCGUAGAGAUCGGGAGGAACACCAGUGGCGAAGGCGGCUACCUGGACCAGCACUGACACUGAGGCACGAAAGCUAGGGGAGCAAACAGG
Molecule: ribosomal RNA, 253 nt
Filed under: uncultured bacterium
Lineage: Bacteria
Description: partial 16S ribosomal RNA
Rfam family: Bacterial small subunit ribosomal RNA
Source: RNAcentral